This 206-nucleotide unclassified non-coding RNA is filed under the name Hevea brasiliensis (rubber tree). Lineage: Eukaryota; Viridiplantae; Streptophyta; Magnoliopsida; Malpighiales; Euphorbiaceae. The record is from RNAcentral.
GUUUUCUUUCUUCCGCAUAGUUGGACUAUGGAAUCUUGGGACAAUUUUUAACAUUUUGGAAGAUCGCUUGGGGGUGGUAAUAGUGACUCGUUAGGGCCUUUCCCAUUGUCCACCAAGAACGCCAUCUUAAGUCCCCAGGUCGUGUGCACUUCCAGAUGGCAAUGCAUGAACCAGACUCCUGGAUUAUCAGCACGGAAUCUGAUGGC